UCCCCCAUAGCUCAAUUGGCAGAGCUUCCGACUGUUAAUCGGACGGUUACUGGUUCGAGUCCAGUUGGGGGAGCCG
RNAcentral lists this transfer RNA (76 nucleotides) under Williamsia sp. Leaf354. RNAcentral's name for it is "tRNA-Asn". It matches the Rfam family "tRNA". Rfam says of the family: Transfer RNA (tRNA) molecules are approximately 80 nucleotides in length. Their secondary structure includes four short double-helical elements and three loops (D, anti-codon, and T loops). The record is from RNAcentral. Lineage: Bacteria; Bacillati; Actinomycetota; Actinomycetes; Mycobacteriales; Nocardiaceae.